CAAGCGUAUCCGGAUUUAUUGGGCGUAAAGGGUGCGCAGGCGGUCUAUUAAGUUUAGGGUGAAAGCUUGAGCUCAACUCAAUACAGCGUUAAAAACUGAUAGACUAGAGUGCAGAAGAGGGUAGUGAAUUCCAUGUGUAGCGGUAAAAUGCGUAGAUAUAUGGAGGAACACCAGUGGCGAAGGCGCUACCUGGUCUGUAACUGACGCUCAGGCACGAAAGCGUGGGGAGCAAAUAGGAUUAGAACCCUAGUAGUCCACGCCCUAAACGAUGAGAACUAAGUGUUGGAGUAUUUCAGUGCUGCGUUAACGCAAUAAGUUCUCCGCCUGAGGAGUAUGCACGCAAGUGUGAAACUUAAAGGAAUGACGGGGGCCCGCACAAGCGGUGGAGUAUGCGGUUUAAUUCGACGCAACGCGAAGAACUUACCAGGCCUUGACAUCCCUUGCAAAACUAUAGAGAUAUAGCAGAGGUUACCAAGGUGCAGGUGGUGCAUGGUUGUCGUCAGCUCGUGUCGUGAGAUGUUGGGUUAAGUCCCGCAACAGCGCAACCCUUGUCUUUAGUUACCAUCAUUAAGUUGGGGACUCUAAAGAGACUGCCGGGAUAAACCGGAGGAAGGUGGGGAUGACGUCAAAUCAUCAUGCCCCUUAUGGCCUGGGCUCACGCGUACUACAAUGGCGUAUACAACAAGAUGCAAUAUAGUGAUAUGGAGCGAAACUCAAAAUACGUCUCAGUUCGGAUCGAAGUCUGCAAUUCGACUUCGUGAAGUUGGAAUCGCUGUAAUCGCGGAUCAGCAUGCCGCGGUGAAUACGUUCUCGGGCCUUGCACACACCGCCCG
This 833-nucleotide ribosomal RNA is filed under the name uncultured bacterium. RNAcentral's name for it is "bacterial SSU rRNA". It matches the Rfam family "Bacterial small subunit ribosomal RNA", at positions 535 to 1396 of the family's 1533-position model. The record is from RNAcentral.